UUCGGACAGAGGUCAGUCGCGCCCUUGCCCUUGGAGCAACAACACCUAAGAUGGGCAGUCAAUUUGUCUUCAGGAUAGUGCAACAUGAAGAGCAGAAUAAAGGCCCUCCAUUUCGCAGUCAUCAUUUCGAAUAACUCACGAUUAUGUGGUGAUUGAGUUAAUUCUCGGGGGAGCCAGUAACCCUAAGAGAAUGCGUCCUUCGGUGGCUCGCCGUCUCCGGACGGAGGGCCGGAGGGAAAUAAAAUACCUCCCCUGGACCGACGGGCAACUUAUGCCAGAAACGGGCUAGAGAAUCUCCCUGCACGGGCCGUGUUUCGAGAACUGCAUGGCACAGGUGACGAGAGAUGCUGGUUCUAGUGGAAAGAUGUAUGGAACCGAAGAAAACACUUGAGAUGAAUCAAUUGCAAUUCAGAGACAGACAGACAGUAGUCAGAGCCAUGGAGAAACCAGGGACUUAUGUGGAUCCUGAGUGUAAGGGGGGUGCUCUAGGAACUUCUGGUCCUGGUAAGCAACUGGGACCGGGAACGAGCUAGUGACCCUUCCUGCACGGGCUGUGUUCCGAGAACUGCAUGGCACAGGUGAAGCGAGAGAUGCUGGUUCCCUUGGCUCGAUGACCACGAGCCACCCUCAUUGAAGUGGCCUGAGUAAUUAAAUUGAUUCAAUUGCAAUUAGUGACGAAAUAUCGAAGAAACGAGGAUCUUUGUGUGAAUGAAGAAGGAGCCGUUAUUACAAUCGGGUGUGAUACUCCGGGUAUAGUCGAAUCAUCAGAACCAGGGACUCAUGUGGAUCCUGAGUGUAAGGGGGGUGACCUAGGAACUUCUGGUCUUGGUAAGCAACUAGGACCGGGAACGAGCUAGUGAACCCUUCCUGCACGGGCCGUGUUCCGAGAACUGCAUGGCACAGGUGAAGCGAGAGAUGCUGGUUCCCUUGGCUCGAUGACCACGAGCCACCCUCAUUGAAGUGGCCCAAGUAAUUAAGUUGAUUCAAUUGCAAUUGGUGACGAAAUAAUGAAGAAAUGAAGAUCAUAGUGUAACUGAAGACGUGAAGAAGGAGCCGUCAUUACAAUCGGGUGUGAUACUCCGGGUAUCGUCGAAUCAUCAGAACCAGGGACUCAUGUGGAUCCUGAGUGUAAGGGAGGGAGAUCUUGGGACUUCUGGCAAGACCACAAUCAACAAACGUCAGGUGUUCUCCAGUGAAGGUCGGAAGAAAGAGGCCGGCUUAGAAUGUAAGUUUUAUUUUAAGUUUAAGAGCUCCGUCUCACCUCACAGUUGAGUUAUUCUUCUUAUUUCUAUCUUUUUUUUUGCUUGUGUGUGAUUGUCAGAUGCGACACGACACAUUUUCUUUCAGUCUUCUUCGUGUCGCAGGACAAAGCUGUCUAUCUUUCCUUUCUUUUUUUAUUUUUUGUUAUUAAUUUAUUUUUAUGGCCUUCUUUCCUGAAUGCUCAACUGUGAGGCGAGAGUAAUAAUAUCUAAAUGAUGGACUUAAUAAUUAUUAUGUUAUGUAUUUUUUUGUUAUAGAUUUGUAUAGGUAUUAUUUUACAACUGGUGGUAGAGUUUUAGUGCCCAAAACUCGAACGGGUAGGUACCACCCUCUUGUCUAUUUCUGCCGUAAAAACGAUGUAAUAUCGUGUUUCGGCGUGAAGGACAAGAGAGCCGACGGAUUUACUGGCACUUAGGGUAAAACACCUUAGCCCUCUAGUUGGGUAAAACACUACUGUUGUCACUUAACACCAGGUAACCAGUAGCGUCGUACCCAACCCGAUACACCCCUAGGUAAACUCAACAGCUGACGGUUGAAAAAGGGUACGAAUUUGAUUUCUCUGUAACUUUUUUGGUGUGGUGAAGUUACGAAUCUUGUGACAAAGCAAUUAGACUCAAACCGUGUUGGAUUAGAGACUCCUCGUGAAUGAAUGUACCAAUGUAACGUGUGCCACAACGCUCAAUAGGCAAUGUAACUAAACAGUACACACAACCAACUCCUACGCUUAUGUUUAGUUUGAUUUUGGGAUGCCCUCGUAUGUUCUAUGUUCUGAAAUCCAUAAAACUGUGUUAUAUUAUUUCGAAAUUAAACUGCAAAUGUAUAGCGUUUAACACCUUAGUUGCUCACCGAAUAGUUUCAUUGUCUUAUUGAUGCUUUACCUUGGCGAUUUCAUAAUAACUACCUCGUUACAUGGUCAUGAAUUUAAUGAGAUCACUUUGUCAUAAAAGCUCGUAACUUAACCAUGUUCAAAACACUAAAUACCAGCUGCUGACGUGAAUUCUACCCUAUUUUUGGCCGUUAGUUUUUAGGUUACCCUGUUAGUAAGACACUGGUACGUAACAUAUUAUAGUAGUUGUAGUCUAUAAGUAUUUAGUUUGCUGUGCUAUACACUGGAUGCUAUCACUGGGUUUAGGGUCAUAGUUAUGUUGAAAGAGACUAAUGUACUCUUAGUUAUGCAAUAAACGAUUGAGUAUUGAGUAAUAUUAUCACUGGUCUAGUAAGUAGGAUAAGUUACAAACGUGUUGUCACUGGCUUUAAUAACUGGGUUGAUUGCUAUGAUGUAAACUGAGGAAGAGGAAGCCUAGACCGAAUAACUGGAAUUUACUGGAUGCAAUCACUGGGACUAGUUUCAUAUUAUAGUAGAGAGUUUGCCAAUACUGGGAUAAUAGAAGUUAAUGUUAAGGUGUGAUGUAUUUUAUUAUGCAUGUCUAGUUGUCUACACUGUUACUGGUAAUAUCACUGGGAUUAAUGUCAUAGGGUCGCACGAUCUCGAAUACUACUAUCCGUUCGCUUCUAGUUGGCAGAAAACAGAUGAAAUUGCAGUAGGGCGGGGAGGGUGGGAGGGGCCAACUAGAAACGAACGCUCAGUACCUACCUACUAUAACUCUAAUAAGUAAUGUUACUAUCACUGGUUUGGUUAUAAGAUGGGUGUCAUGCACUGGAUACACUGGGAAAACUUGUCAUCACUAGAUAAAAUAACUGGGGUCAUUGCUGUGGUACAUACUGAGGAAGAGAAAGCCUAGACCGAAAUACACAAAAUCUUCCUCAAAAUCUGAUCGCAGAGUUGUGUGUGCAAUUAUUGUGUAUUUUCUACAUAGUGUGUUGUGUGGUGAUUAAAGUAACACUAGGUUACGGUGUUGUUUUGGAACAUUAUUGCUCUAGUAUUUAGCUGACCCUGUCUGUUUAUUUUUGUUUGUCUCUACUUGUUAUGAUAGUCACUGGAAUUCACUGGUUUCAAUCACUGGAUUAGUUUCAUGCAGUACAGCGUUGCCAAUAAUACUGAUAAUACUGGGAAAAUAGAUGUUAUUUGUGUGCAAUGUAUCUAUGUAUGCAUAUCUAGUGGUCUACAUUAUUCACUGGUUAUAACACUGGGAUUAAGGUCUUUGAGUCGUAGAUUGUUAAAUGCUAGGUAAAUGGGAGUCAAAAUUACGUAGGUACUAAACGUUCGCUUCGAGUUGGCCGUCAAUGACCGUUACAAAAUGGUGGCAGGGAGGGUGGGAGCGGCCAACUCAGAACGAUCGCGCAGGACCUGUAUCACUUUAGUUAAGUAAUGUUACAAUCACUGGUUUAGUUAUAAGAUGGGUGUCAUGCACUGGGUGCACAAAAGUACCUACCUGUAGUAAAAGACUGGUAUUUAACAUGAUGAAGCUGUAGUCUGUUUUUUUAUUAGUUUUGCUAUGCUAUACACUGGGAUUAGUUUUAGAGUUAUGAUGAAAGAGUAUUAAAUAAACUAUAAUACAUGUUUAUGUAAUGUUGCUAUCACUGUUUUAAUUAUAAUAUCGGUGUCAUUCACUGGGUCCACAAAAGUUAUAUUAUUAUAGUACGACACUAGGUUAAGUAUUGGUGUAAUUUUAAGCUACCUGAGUAAGUGAUGUGAUGUAUACUGAGUUACUGAGAGUAAAAAAGUCUAAGACUAAAGUACACGAGAAGACCAGAUUUUAAAUCUGGAGAGAUGGUGGCCAGUAUUAUAUUAUUAUUAUGUCUGAAUUGUGUAAUUAAUGUGUAAAAUUUAUUUAUAUAGAUUUUAUUUUAUUUUUUACUGGUGGUAGAGUUUUAGUGCCCAAAACUCGAACGGGUAGGUACCACCCUCUUCUCUAUUUCUGCCGGAAAAACGAUGUAAUGUCGUGUUUCGGCGUGAAUGACUAGAGAGCCGACGGAUUUACUGGCACUUAGGGUAUAACACCUUAGCCCUCUAGUUGGGUAAAACACUCCUGUUGUCACUUAACACCAGGUAACCAGUAGCGUCGUACCCAACCCGAUACACCCCUAGGUAAACUCAACAGCUGACGGUUGAAAAAGGGUACGAUUUUGAUUUCUCUGUAACUUUUUUGGUGUAGUGAAGUUAUGAAUCUUGUGACAAAGCAAUUGGACUCAAACCGUAAUGGAUUGGGAACUCCUCGUAAAUGAAUGUACCAAUGUAACGUGUGCCACAGCGCUCAAUAGGCAAUGUAACUAAACAGUACACACAACCAACUCCUACGCUUAUGUUUAAAGUUUGAUUUCGGGCUGCGCUCGUCUGAUGUUCUGAAAUCCAACUAUAUCUCGAAAUAAAACUGCAAAUGUAUAGCGUUGACCAUCUUAGUUGCUUACUGAAUAGUAGUAUUGUCUCAUUGAUGAUUAACCUUGGCGUUACCAUAAUAACUUCUUCAUUACAUGGACGUGAAUUUUAUGAGACCUUGUCACACUAGCACGUAACUUAACCAUGCCGAAAACGUCAGGUUAUAGCAGAAAUUGUGGAUAAGGUGACAAAAUAUCAAUUUUCGACCGACUCUGUUGUAUUUGCCUAGUAGGCAACCUGAUUUUUAUUUUAUUGUACCUGAUUAUUCCAAUUUGGACUUGUAGCGAUUAGGAAUUUGUGUGGUUAGCGAAUUUUCGGCAGCACCUGUUGAAGUUUCAAAUUAUUUAAUUUUUGAUUCAUAUUAUUUUCCGAUAGCAGAGUAGGAGAACGUAAACCAAGCUAAUUUGGUUCGGAUUAUGACGAAAAUAAUGUGAUGAGACAGUUGGAUACUUUGAAAUUUUAUCAGGUGCUGUCUAAAAUUACUGACGACACAAAUUUUAUAUUGCAAUGUCUGUGUCACUUUUAUAAAGCUUGAAGCUUUAUAUGCUAAAGGCAUAUAACGUAUUGUAUCUAAUAAAUUAUAAGCUGUGUAGCUAAUGUUGCAUAUCACUGGUUAGUUAUAAGUAAGGUUAUAGUGUAGCAAUUGUUAAUUCAAAUUGUGUUUUAUGAUGACGAUAAAACGCAUUUUUAAAGUCCCUAUUUCUGUUUGAGGUCUAAAGUUGACGUAUCCUGCCGCCUAUUGUCUUGGGAUACGUUGACUCUAGAACCCAGGAAUAGGGGCGUUGACCAUCAUAAAACUCAUUUUGAUUUAACGAAUGUCGACUUCAUUCACAUGUCCAUCAAACAAACCAAUCACUCAUAUCCCAUUAUCUUAGAUUUUAAUAUUUUAUUUACAAUAAUUUAGUUUUAGUUAGAUUUUUCAAAUGAAUUUGUGUUUUGUGUCAACCUCGACGUUAACCUUUUUGGGUCGACUAUUUCUUUUUUUGUGGUAAAGACAUGUCCCCGGUUUUUUUGGGGUUCAGAAAUGUUCGUACUUUACCGGGCAAAAUAUUUUUAAUUGGGAUCAACUUUUUGGGAGGGUAAGUGAAGUAUGAUCACUUCUUUAUUGUCUUUACCCGGAAAUAGGCGUGGCGGUUGCCGCAAAACACUUAGGCCUACCCUAAAUAUUAGUUUUAGAGGCAUUUAUGGCUAUAUUUCGAUAUAUUUUUGACAUCACUUGAUGUCCGACGGCAUCACUGCACAAUAGUUCGGCUGUAGUUAUUUCUGUCAUCCGUGCUAAGGUUCCAUAUCCGAUAGAGACACGGUCUUGUUGAAUAUGCCUUAAAAACUGAUGCAUAGGGUAUUAAUUUCAAUUUUUUAUAAAAAUAUUUUAUUAAUUUGUUAACGAUUGUAAUUUAUGUGUGGAUAAAAUUGUUAAUGUUGACUUAUUAAUAUAAUUAAAGCAUUAUAAAUGUAAUAGACGUUGGAAUAAACAUAUAAUAAUAAUAAU
Molecule: long non-coding RNA, 6026 nt
Organism: Ostrinia furnacalis (Asian corn borer)
Lineage: Eukaryota; Metazoa; Arthropoda; Insecta; Lepidoptera; Crambidae
Exons: 2
Source: RefSeq, a predicted model, not a curated record